Molecule: small nuclear RNA, 103 nt
Organism: Jaculus jaculus (lesser Egyptian jerboa)
Lineage: Eukaryota; Metazoa; Chordata; Mammalia; Rodentia; Dipodidae
Source: Ensembl
UGGCUUUGGCAGCCCAUAUACUAAAAUUGGAACAAUACAGGGAUUAUUAGCAUGGCCCCUGCACAAGGACGACAAACACAUUCUUGAAGCUUUCCAUAUAUAU